CCGCCACUAGCUCAUCGGGAUAGAGCAUCAACCUUCUAAGUUGACGGUACGAGGUUCAAGCCCUCGGUAGCGGACCA
RNAcentral lists this transfer RNA (77 nucleotides) under Citrobacter freundii. RNAcentral describes it as "tRNA-Arg". It matches the Rfam family "tRNA". From Rfam's summary of the family: Transfer RNA (tRNA) molecules are approximately 80 nucleotides in length. Their secondary structure includes four short double-helical elements and three loops (D, anti-codon, and T loops). Further hydrogen bonds mediate the characteristic L-shaped molecular structure. tRNAs have two regions of fundamental functional importance: the anti-codon, which is responsible for specific mRNA codon recognition, and the 3' end, to which the tRNAs corresponding amino acid is attached (by aminoacyl-tRNA synthetases). tRNAs cope with the degeneracy of the genetic code in two manners: having more than one tRNA (with a specific anti-codon) for a particular amino acid; and 'wobble' base-pairing, i.e. permitting non-standard base-pairing at the 3rd anti-codon position. The record is from RNAcentral. Lineage: Bacteria; Pseudomonadati; Pseudomonadota; Gammaproteobacteria; Enterobacterales; Enterobacteriaceae.